UACGGAGGAUCCGAGCGUUAUCCGGAUUUAUUGGGUUUAAAGGGUGCGUAGGCGGCCUUUUAAGUCAGCGGUGAAAGUCUGUGGCUCAACCAUAGAAUUGCCGUUGAAACUGGGGGCCUUGAGUGCGGCGGAGGCAUGCGGAAUGCGCGGUGUAGCGGUGAAAUGCAUAGAUAUCGCGCAGAACCCCGAUUGCGAAGGCAGCGUGCCGUGCCGCCACUGACGCUGAGGCACGAAAGCGCGGGGAUCGAACAGG
This 253-nucleotide ribosomal RNA is filed under the name uncultured Parabacteroides sp. RNAcentral describes it as "partial 16S ribosomal RNA". It matches the Rfam family "Bacterial small subunit ribosomal RNA", at positions 524 to 776 of the family's 1533-position model. The record is from RNAcentral. Lineage: Bacteria; Pseudomonadati; Bacteroidota; Bacteroidia; Bacteroidales; Tannerellaceae.